RNAcentral lists this non-coding RNA (30 nucleotides) under Mus musculus (house mouse). Lineage: Eukaryota; Metazoa; Chordata; Mammalia; Rodentia; Muridae. The record is from RNAcentral.
UCCCAUACAUACAUCCUCUUCUGCCAGGUC